GUUUUCUGCCGCAGGCACUGUCCUCUCAGAGGCAUUCUUUCCUGUAAUCCUCUUAAUCCUGUGAGUCACAUGGCGAUGAGGAGAGAUGUCGGGUGGAUGAAGGCCAAACCUGGAGGUGACUCAGAGCCCUAGAGUAAAUUCUGAUCUGACUUUCGUCACUCGUCACCCUUUUACUGUGUCCCUUGGAGCCACUUCCAGAAGGAUUUACAACAAUGACCUGAGCCCUUCUGCAAGGUAGGAGGCCCAGCAUUGUUUUCCUCAUUUAGUAAAUAAAGGGAAAUAAGACUAAGAAAUUGACUAAUUUUAUUUUUUUUAUUUUUUUAU
Molecule: long non-coding RNA, 324 nt
Filed under: Canis lupus familiaris (dog)
Lineage: Eukaryota; Metazoa; Chordata; Mammalia; Carnivora; Canidae
Description: lncRNA (ENSCAFG00000055127.1)
Source: RNAcentral